RNAcentral lists this ribosomal RNA (339 nucleotides) under uncultured eukaryote. RNAcentral describes it as "SSU rRNA". It matches the Rfam family "Eukaryotic small subunit ribosomal RNA", at positions 592 to 928 of the family's 1831-position model. The record is from RNAcentral.
CAAUAGCGUAUAUUAAAGUUGUUGCGGUUAAAAAGCUCGUAGUUGGAUUUCUGUUGGGAACGACCGGUCCGCCCAUUGGGUGUGCAUCUGGCUUGUUCUCGGCAUCUUCUUGGUGAACGUUGCUGCACUUGACUGUGUGGAGCGCUACCCACGGACUUUUACUUUUGUAGGAAAUUAAGAGUGUUUCUAAGCAGGCAUAUGCCUUGAAUACAUUAGCAUGGAAUAAUAAGAUAGGACCUCGGUUCUAUUUUGUUUGGUUUCUUAGAGCUGAGGUAAUGAUUAAUAGGGAUAUUGGGGGCGAUUCGUAUUUAACUGUCAGAGGUGAAAUUCUUGGAUUUG